Long non-coding RNA from Folsomia candida, 3142 nucleotides. RefSeq lists it as uncharacterized. The record is from RefSeq and is a predicted model, not a curated record. NCBI's taxonomy places the organism in Eukaryota, Metazoa, Arthropoda, Collembola, Entomobryomorpha, Isotomidae. The transcript has 8 exons.
CAUGCAUCCUCACAUCCAGAUACAUACACAUAUUCUAAUAAAAACUGGUUGGAUAUAGAGAGAAAUUUUGCACACAUGUCACAAAAGCAAAAGUUUUUUUAUCCUCUCGCACACAAAGUCACGUAGUCGCCAGCAGUAUUAUUUUGUGCUCUUUAUAAAUACAUAAUUAACAUUAAAUAAAUAUUUCGUGGAAAUCAAACGGAAUGCGAUAUUUAGUCAAUUGAACGGGGGAACUAUAAAUUUGAUGGAAAUGACAACGUCCGUGAAACACUUGGUGACCGUGUUUUUUGUCCUGCUAAGUAUCCUUGUUGCGGGAAUAGGAGGUCAACAGUAUUUUGAUGGGUCGGGAAAUACCCCGAAUUCGCAGCAUGUGGAAGAAUGCAGUUUAACAAAUUGUGAUUCCUACGCAAAAUGUCCGCAUGGAUGGAUGGAACUUUACACGGAGCGAUACACGUGUCCUGGUGGCCGUGAGAAGAAAUAUUGCUGCUCCCCUGGCCGCACGCCGCUCUGCUACCACACCCCCUGCGCCGGCCCUUCGCCCUCGUCUCAACGGCUACCGAGAAUGGAGCCGCGGCGCGGCGCAGUGUGGGCGCAGGGACGAGCACACGCUGCACUGCUGCAUAGACGGCCAUCUCCCGCAGUGCUUCAACACCACGUGCUCCCCCGCGGGAGAUAUUUCAAACCAAUGUCCAGGCGGGUAUAGUCAGGUCGCUUAUUGGAAAGGGGCCGGUUGGGAGUGUCCACCCCACUUGGACAUGCGGACUUGUUGUAGAUCUGAGCAAAACCUUCAAAAUCAGAAUCCCUUUACACAAGGAAACAACCCGUUUCAAAAUAAUCAACCAAAUUAUGAUCGUAAUUACCAAAAUAGUUAUCCAAACCAAAAUAAUAAUUAUAAUCAGCAACAGAAUUAUCAGGGUGGCUCCGAUUUCCGCUCCGAGUCUUGUCAAUACACUAAUUGCGAAACUUAUUCGCCACGAUGCCCAGGGACACAUUCGUAUGAAUUAUCAACGGACAAAAGUUAUUGUACACAAGGCCGAGAACGAAAACUUUGCUGUCGUCCCGGUCAACUUCCGCCGUGUUACGAUACCUCCUGCCAGUCUGCCACGAACCUAAGGUGUCCCACCGGUUACCGGGAAUGGAGCCGGGAGCCGGGCGCCUGUCGAGGAAACGGGAACGAGCAGAGACUCCACUGCUGCGCGGAUGGCCAACUCCCCACCUGUUACAAAACGCAUGUGCAGAUAAUCCGACCUGCGCAACCGGAUUUUUAGAGGGAAAUAUCCCCUCAUCAGGACAGAACGAGUGUGACUGGCGAAUGUCGCGAAAAACCUGUUGUCGCCCGGGAAACAAUGAUUUCCAAUUUGCCGGAAGAAGAGACGGGUUUUCUACACGGGACCAACAACAAUCCCGCGGAACACCGGAAGGUUGUCUAUUUUCAGACUGUCAACAAUACCCCAGAUGUCCGUUAUCUUACAGAGAAAUGUUUACUGACAGAAAAACUUGUGCAAGCGGUCGGGAGAGGAUGAUGUGCUGUCGUCAAGAUCUCCUCCCCGAGUGUAUCGAUACCCUGUGCGAGUCCACCUACUCGGUCCGGUGUCCCAACGGGUACAGGGAACAGUCUCGGGGUAACCAGGGGUGCAGCAGUAGCCUAGAUACGAAGCUGUAUUGUUGCUCUGACUCCCGCCAACUGGGCCACUGUUACAAUACGACUUGCACGAACAGCGGAGAGGCCGAGUGUCGUCGGGGGUAUGUUAUGACUGCAAGGGGAAAAGGGGUCGAGUGGGGCUGCCCCUGGACGGCUUAUAAGUCGACAUGUUGUGAAACUGCAAGUUGGAAUGGUGGUCGUGGUAAUUUUUUUCACAACAUCGGCCUGAUAAUAGUCGUUUCAUUUCUGGUUUCAUUUUUGAGCGCAUAUGUUUCAGUUUAGAACAAAAAUACAACUUUCAUUAUGUUUUUGGAAACCCGCGUUGUAAGCAGUUGCCAUAAUUCUUCUUCAACAGCACUUCCAAGUUUGUCAAAAAAAUCGUUUUUUUCUGCUUUUUUGUAUAUGUACAAGAUACGAAAAAGUUGGGGAAAGCGAAAAACGCGAUUUUUUUGACAAACUUGGAAGUCCCUAAUAUCUUGUUUAAUGCUUUAUUGAACUUAGCCCUUGUUUUUCAGUUUUUCGUGACUUUCCCUUUAUGGGAAACCUAGGGGAAAUACUAUAUGUUUAGAAAUAUUGCAUUUAUUUUAGUAAGCUUUAUAUUUUAUUAUAACUUUGCACGUUGACUUCGUUAAGGGCACGUUCAUCCAUGACCAAGGGAAAAAUACAGGGUUAAGACAACUGAAAUAGUAGCAUUUUGCACAUAUUUGUUACUACUUUUGUAGCUUAUGCACACAUAGCCAUAGACAGAUUUGUGCACUUGUAAAAUUUUUCAUAGAGAAUAAAUGACAACUUUUACCAAGCUUAUGCAUCUCUGAGGUUGCUACCCUCUGUCAUUCUGAAUUAAGUAUUUAAUAAUUUAACUGGCAUUCAACCCAGGGUCAUAUAUAUAUGUAUUCAUAUAAUUAGAGUGUGUAAACAUUUCGAAUCCGUUGUAAGAUAUGUAUUUAGCGUUGAAGUGCCACACCACAUGGCCGUCGAGUAAAAUUGUGGUGUUAUUAUUAAAAUAAUUAAAAUAAUCAACCAAAUAUUGACCGAUGUGUCAAUAAUGUUAACAAUUUUCACAGUGCCAUUUUGGCCACAUUUACAACAAACAUUCCUGUAUCUUAACCUCUUUUUGACAGUAACUUCCGUAAACCCCUCGUUGCCACUAACCCCCGAAAUUAAGGUUUGUCAAUUUUCAAAACUGAUGUAAAUUCGGAAAAAAUAUGUUUGCAUGGAUUUUAUAUAUAAAAUAUUCAAAAAUCCGACUUUUAGUCUGUACAUCCGACUUUGAUGACCCCCAGCACUGGUCGGAUCAGAACCAUCUUCUAACUUAGGGAAGGUAACGAUACAGUGGAGCUCCAGGCGAUUGGGGACCCAUUGACACGCCAACUUAAUAAUGGAAGGCGUAGCAAGGCAGUGACCUUUUCCCGACGCAAGCUUCCUUUUCUCAAUAACAAAGUUUCAUCGAAAUUUACAUUCAAAUUUUCACCAAAUUUUCAUCAAAAUUUUCAUUAUGAC